This 1534-nucleotide ribosomal RNA is filed under the name Lactiplantibacillus plantarum. RNAcentral describes it as "Lactobacillus plantarum 16S ribosomal RNA". It matches the Rfam family "Bacterial small subunit ribosomal RNA". The record is from RNAcentral. Lineage: Bacteria; Bacillati; Bacillota; Bacilli; Lactobacillales; Lactobacillaceae.
AGAGUUUGAUCCUGGCUCAGGACGAACGCUGGCGGCGUGCCUAAUACAUGCAAGUCGAACGAACUCUGGUAUUGAUUGGUGCUUGCAUCAUGAUUUACAUUUGAGUGAGUGGCGAACUGGUGAGUAACACGUGGGAAACCUGCCCAGAAGCGGGGGAUAACACCUGGAAACAGAUGCUAAUACCGCAUAACAACUUGGACCGCAUGGUCCGAGCUUGAAAGAUGGCUUCGGCUAUCACUUUUGGAUGGUCCCGCGGCGUAUUAGCUAGAUGGUGGGGUAACGGCUCACCAUGGCAAUGAUACGUAGCCGACCUGAGAGGGUAAUCGGCCACAUUGGGACUGAGACACGGCCCAAACUCCUACGGGAGGCAGCAGUAGGGAAUCUUCCACAAUGGACGAAAGUCUGAUGGAGCAACGCCGCGUGAGUGAAGAAGGGUUUCGGCUCGUAAAACUCUGUUGUUAAAGAAGAACAUAUUCUGAGAGUAACUGUUCAGGUAUUGACGGUAUUUAACCAGAAAGCCACGGCUAACUACGUGCCAGCAGCCGCGGUAAUACGUAGGUGGCAAGCGUUGUCCGGAUUUAUUGGGCGUAAAGCGAGCGCAGGCGGUUUUUUAAGUCUGAUGUGAAAGCCUUCGGCUCAACCGAAGAAAGUGCAUCGGAAACUGGGAAACUUGAGUGCAGAAGAGGACAGUGGAACUCCAUGUGUAGCGGUGAAAUGCGUAGAUAUAUGGAAGAACACCAGUGGCGAAGGCGGCUGUCUGGUCUGUAACUGACGCUGAGGCUCGAAAGUAUGGGUAGCAAACAGGAUUAGAUACCCUGGUAGUCCAUACCGUAAACGAUGAAUGCUAAGUGUUGGGAGGGUUUCCGCCCUUCAGUGCUGCAGCUAACGCAUUAAGCAUUCCGCCUGGGGAGUACGGCCGCAAGGCUGAAACCUCAAAGGAAUUGGACGGGGGCCCGCACAAGCGGUGGAGCAUGUGGUUUAAUUCGAAGCUACGCGAAGAACCUUACCAGGUCUUGACAUACUAUGCAAAUCUAAGAGAUUAGACGUUCCCUUCGGGGACAUGGAUACAGGUGGUGCAUGGUUGUCGUCAGCUCGUGUCGUGAGAUGUUGGGUUAAGUCCCGCAACGAGCGCAACCCUUAUUAUCAGUUGCCAGCAUUAAGUUGGGCACUCUGGUGAGACUGCCGGUGACAAACCGGAGGAAGGGUGGGGGAUGACGUCAAAUCAUCAUGCCCCUUAUGACCUGGGCUACACACGUGCUACAAUGGAUGGUACAACGAGUUGCGAACUCGCGAGAGUAAGCUAAUCUCUUAAAGCCAUUCUCAGUUCGGAUUGUAGGCUGCAACUCGCCUACAUGAAGUCGGAAUCGCUAGUAAUCGCGGAUCAGCAUGCCGCGGUGAAUACGUUCCCGGGCCUUGUACACACCGCCCGUCACACCAUGAGAGUUUGUAACACCCAAAGUCGGUGGGGUAACCUUUUAGGAACCAGCCGCCUAAGGUGGACAGAUGAUUAGGGUGAAGUCGUAACAAGGUAACC